AGUGAACGCUGGCGGUAGGCCUAACACAUGCAAGUCGAACGGCAGCACAGUAAGAGCUUGCUCUUACGGGUGGCGAGUGGCGGACGGGUGAGGAAUACAUCGGAAUCUACUUUUUCGUGGGGGAUAACGUAGGGAAACUUACGCUAAUACCGCAUACGACCUACGGGUGAAAGCAGGGGAUCUUCGGACCUUGCGCGAUUGAAUGAGCCGAUGUCGGAUUAGCUAGUUGGCGGGGUAAAGGCCCACCAAGACGACGAUCCGUAGCUGGUCUGAGAGGAUGAUCAGCCACACUGGAACUGAGACACGGUCCAGACUCCUACGGGAGGCAGCAGUGGGGAAUAUUGGACAAUGGGCGCAAGCCUGAUCCAGCCAUACCGCGUGGGUGAAGAAGGCCUUCGGGUUGUAAAGCCCCUUUGUUGGGAAAGAAAAGCAGCAGGUUAAUACCCCGCUGUUCUGACGGUACCCAAAGAAUAAGCACCGGCUAACUUCGUG
RNAcentral lists this ribosomal RNA (492 nucleotides) under uncultured bacterium. RNAcentral describes it as "partial 16S ribosomal RNA". It matches the Rfam family "Bacterial small subunit ribosomal RNA", at positions 29 to 507 of the family's 1533-position model. The record is from RNAcentral.